This 279-nucleotide ribosomal RNA is filed under the name uncultured prokaryote. RNAcentral's name for it is "partial 16S ribosomal RNA". It matches the Rfam family "Bacterial small subunit ribosomal RNA", at positions 524 to 801 of the family's 1533-position model. The record is from RNAcentral.
UACGAAGGGUGCAAGCGUUAAUCGGAAUUACUGGGCGUAAAGCGCGCGUAGGUGGUUCGUUAAGUUAGGAGUGAAAGCCCCCGGGCUCAACCUGGGAAUUGCUUCUAAAACUGGCGAGCUAGAGUAUGGUAGAGGGUGGUGGAAUUUCCUGUGUAGCGGUGAAAUGCGUAGAUAUAGGAAGGAACAUCAGUGGCGAAGGCGACCACCUGGACUGAUACUGACACUGAGGUGCGAAAGCGUGGGGAGCAAACAGGAUUAGAUACCCGGGUAGUCCCUGAG